RNAcentral lists this ribosomal RNA (444 nucleotides) under uncultured bacterium. Its description in RNAcentral is "SSU rRNA". It matches the Rfam family "Bacterial small subunit ribosomal RNA", at positions 26 to 518 of the family's 1533-position model. The record is from RNAcentral.
AGAACGAACGCUGGCGGCAUGCCUAACACAUGCAAGUCGAACGCUCAUCUUCGGAUGGGAGUGGCGCACGGGUGAGUAACGCGUGGGAACCUGCCCCGAGGUUCGGGAUAACCGAUGGAAACGUCGGCUAAUACCGGAUACGUCCUAAGGGAGAAAGAUUUAUCGCCUUGGGAGGGGCCCGCGUCGGAUUAGCUAGUUGGUGGGGUAACGGCCUACCAAGGCGAUGAUCCGUAGCUGGUCUGAGAGGAUGAUCAGCCACACUGGGACUGAGACACGGCCCAGACUCCUACGGGAGGCAGCAGUGGGGAAUUUUGCGCAAUGGGGGAAACCCUGACGCAGCAACGCCGCGUGGAGGAUGAAGCCCCUUGGGGCGUAAACUCCUUUCGAUCGGGACGAUUAUGACGGUACCGGAGAAGAGCCCGGCUACUUCGUGCCAGCAGCCGC